Molecule: ribosomal RNA, 317 nt
Filed under: Pseudomonas sp. R9.19
Lineage: Bacteria; Pseudomonadati; Pseudomonadota; Gammaproteobacteria; Pseudomonadales; Pseudomonadaceae
Description: bacterial SSU rRNA
Rfam family: Bacterial small subunit ribosomal RNA
Source: RNAcentral
GGGGACCUUCGGGCCUCGCGCUAUCAGAUGAGCCUAGGUCGGAUUAGCUAGUUGGUGGGGUAACGGCUCACCAAGGCGACGAUCCGUAACUGGUCUGAGAGGAUGAUCAGUCACACUGGAACUGAGACACGGUCCAGACUCCUACGGGAGGCAGCAGUGGGGAAUAUUGGACAAUGGGCGAAAGCCUGAUCCAGCCAUGCCGCGUGUGUGAAGAAGGUCUUCGGAUUGUAAAGCACUUUAAGUUGGGAGGAAGGGCAGUUACCUAAUACGUAUCUGUUUUGACGUUACCGACAGAAUAAGCACCGGCUAACUCUGUG